UACGUAGGGUGCGAGCGUUGUCCGGAAUUACUGGGCGUAAAGAGCUCGUAGGUGGUUUGUCGCGUUGUCUGUGAAAUCCUACCGCUUAACGGUGGGCGUGCAGGCGAUACGGGCAGGCUGGAGUACUGCAGGGGAGACUGGAAUUCCUGGUGUAGCGGUGAAAUGCGCAGAUAUCAGGAGGAACACCGGUGGCGAAGGCGGGUCUCUGGGCAGUAACUGACGCUGAGGAG
RNAcentral lists this ribosomal RNA (230 nucleotides) under uncultured microorganism. RNAcentral's name for it is "partial 16S ribosomal RNA". It matches the Rfam family "Bacterial small subunit ribosomal RNA", at positions 524 to 753 of the family's 1533-position model. The record is from RNAcentral.